GUUAAGCUACUAAGAGCAUAGGGUGAAUGCCUUGGCACCAAGAGCCGAUGAAGGACGUGAUAAGCUGCGAAAAGCUAUGGGGAGGAGCAAAUAUCCAUUAUAUCCAUAGAUAUCCGAAUGAGGGAACUCAGCUGGUGGAAAAAGACCAGUUAUCCAUACAUAAGUAAAGUAGUGUAUGUGAAGGGAACGUGGGGAACUGAAACAUCUAAGUACCCACAGGAAAAGAAAGAAAACUCGAUUCCUUAAGUAGUGGCGAGCGAAAGAGGAAGAGCCUAAACCAGAAGAAGUAAUUCUACUGGGGUUAUGGACUACAUAAUUGAUUCAUGAGAUUUAGCAGAACUGUUUGGAAAAUCAGACCAAAGAUAGUGAAAGUCUAGUAAGCGAAAAAUCAAAUGACAUGGUAGUAUCCAGAGUAGUGCGAGACACGGGAAAUCUCGUAUGAAAAAUGGGGGACCACCCCCAAAGGCUAAAUACUACUUGGUGACCGAUAGUGAAGCAGUACCGUGAGGGAAAGGUGAAAAGAACCCCGGGAGGGGAGUGAAAGAGAACCUGAAACCCUAUGUUUACAAGCAGACAAAGCACGUUAAGGUGCGAUGUCGUACUUUUUGUAGAACGGUCCGGCGAGUUAUUUUAUAUGGCAAGGUUAAGUACUUAAGGUACGAAGCCGAAGAGAAAUCGAGUCUGAACAGGGCGACUAAGUCAUAUGAAAUAGACCCGAAACCGGGUGACCUAUCCAUGGUCAGGUUGAAGCUUGAGUAAAAUCAAGUGGAGGACCGAACCCAUAAGCGUUAAAAAGCUUCGGGAUGAACUGUGGAUAGCGGAGAAAUUCCAAUCGAACUCGGAGAUAGCUGGUUCUCCUCGAAAUAGUUUUAGGACUAGCCUUGUUUAGUAGUACGUGGGGGUAGAGCACUGAAGGAGCUAGGGGCCAAACCAGGUUACCGAACUCUAUCAAACUCCGAAUACCAUGUAUGUAAGAACAGGAGUCAGACUGUGGGAGCUAAGUUCCAUGGUCAAAAGGGAAAGAGCCCAGAUCGUCAAUUAAGGUCCCAAAGAUAUAGUUAAGUGGAAAACGAUGUGAUUUUGCGUAAACAACCAGGAUGUUGGCUUAGAAGCAGCCAUUCAUUUAAAGAGUGCGUAAUAGCUCACUGGUCGAGUGAAGUUGCGCGGAAAAUUACCGGGGCUAAACUAUACACCGAAAUUGCGGAUUCAUACGUAAGUAUGAGUGGUAGAGGAGCAUUCUGUUGUAGGACGAAGCAUGAUCGAAAGGACAUGUGGACGAAGCAGAAGAGAGAAUGCCGGAAUAAGUAGCGAAAGCAUGGUGAGAAUCCAUGCCAUCGAAAGUCUAAGGUUUCCUGGGGAAGGUUCGUCCGCCCAGGGUAAGUCGGGACCUAAGGUGAGGCCGAAAGGCGUAGCCGAUGGACAGCAGGUAGAAAUUCCUGCACCACCGAUAUACUUAAAAAGCACAAGGGACACAGAAGUGGAAGAGAAGCGAGGAAGAGGAAAAACUCGUAUCGAAAGAUAUAGUGAAAAUAAAGUAACGAAUUCUCAAGAAGCACACUGGCGAGAAAAGCUUGUGAGUCUUGUAUAUAGGUGCCCGUACCGCAAACCGACACAGGUAGAUGAGGAGAAGAUCCUAAGAUGAGCGAGAGAAGCAUUGUUAAGGAACUCGGCAAAUUGACCCCGUAACUUAGGGAGAAGGGGUACCGGUGUAACAGCCGGUCGCAGUGAAUCGGUCCAAGCAACUGUUUAACAAAAACACAGGUUUCUGCUAAAUCGAAAGAUGAAGUAUAGGAGCUGACGCCUGCCCAGUGCUGGAAGGUUAAGGGGAAGGGUUAUUCGUAAGAAGAAGCUUUGAACCAAAGCCCCAGUGAACGGCGGCCGUAACUAUAACGGUCCUAAGGUAGCGAAAUUCCUUGUCAGGUAAGUUCUGACCCGCACGAAAGGCGUAAUGAUUUGGGCACUGUCUCAACAGCCCGCCCGGCGAAAUUGUAGUACCGGUGAAGAUGCCGGUUUCCCGCAACUAGACGGAAAGACCCCAUGGAGCUUCACUGUAGCUUGAUAUUGGAUCUCGGUAUUCCAUGUACAGGAUAGGUGGGAGGCUAGGAAGUAAGCGCGCCAGCGUUUAUGGAGCCAACCUUGGGAUACCACUCUUGGGAUAUUGGGAUUCUAACCUGCGACCAUGAAUCUGGUCGGGGGACACUGUCAGGUGGGCAGUUUGACUGGGGCGGUCGCCUCCAAAAGAGUAACGGAGGCGCGCAAAGGUUUCCUCAGCACGGACAGAAAUCGUGCGAAAGAGUGCAAAGGCAGAAGGAAGCUUAACUGAAAGACUGACAAGUCGACCAGAUACGAAAGUAGGUCUUAGUGAUCCGGCGGUAGUGAGUGGAAAUGCCGUCGCUCAACGGACAAAAGUUACCCUGGGGAUAACAGGCUUAUCUCCCCCAAGAGUUCACAUCGACGGGGAGGUUUGGCACCUCGAUGUCGGCUCAUCACAUCCUGGAGCGGAAGUACGUUCCAAGGGUUGGGCUGUUCGCCCAUUAAAGUGGUACGCGAGCUGGGUUCAGAACGUCGUGAGACAGUUCGGUCCCUAUCUGUCGCAGGCGGAGGAUAUUUGAAGGGAGUUGGCCCUAGUACGAGAGGACCAGGCUGAACGAACCGCUGGUGCACCAGUUGUCAUACCAAUGGCACAGCUGGGUAGCUAAGUUCGGAAGGGAUAAACGCUGAAAGCAUCUAAGUGUGAAGCCCACCCUAAGAUAAGAUAUCCCAUACCGUAAGGUAGUAAGAUUCCACGUAGACUAUGUGGUUGAUAGGUUGGAGGUGUAAGUGCAGCAAUGCAUUAAGCUGACCAAUACUAAUAAAUCGAGGGCUUAA
RNAcentral lists this ribosomal RNA (2868 nucleotides) under pig gut metagenome. Its description in RNAcentral is "Bacterial large subunit ribosomal RNA". It matches the Rfam family "Bacterial large subunit ribosomal RNA". The record is from RNAcentral.